Long non-coding RNA from Lathyrus oleraceus (garden pea), 762 nucleotides. RefSeq lists it as uncharacterized. The transcript has 4 exons. The record is from RefSeq and is a predicted model, not a curated record. NCBI's taxonomy places the organism in Eukaryota, Viridiplantae, Streptophyta, Magnoliopsida, Fabales, Fabaceae.
AAGUCAUAACAGUUUGGAACCGUUGGUUUUGUGGAAAGGUAUUGGUCAAAGAGUUUGGAUUGUGAUUGUCGGGUUAAAAUGCUACUGCAGUAGGUGCAACAGUGGCAGGCGGUGUUGCUGCAAGUAAAACAUUGCUAAUGAUGCUCCUUAAAUUGCAAAUAAACUUGGUGAAGACCUUUGUAAAGUAAUAUCGCGAGAAGAAGUCUUCAAGUUAACAACGGUACAUAAACUGUGGGGCCUCUAAGAUCUUCACCAACCUAGAGCCUAGAAUCUGGGGCCGAGAGGCUAUCCUUACCAACCUCUUGUCUUUGCGAUUUGGCCUACUGUCUGAAACACUUCGAAUGAGAGGUGACUAAUCAAAAAUUCUGCAGGAUUCUUAUGUAGCUUCAACCAUUAGUUUCAAGGAAACAUGCUUCAGGUUUGAACUGCAAAUACCACAGGUUACAGUUCCUUUGUCAACAUAGCUGUGAUGACUACAUGCUACAGCAUCUUAAGCUCUGGCAUCUCAGGAACUGAAGACCGAGUGGUUGCAAGGAAACAAAAACAGGUGGCUUGAACCAGCCUGGGCAGAGAGGAUUUGUAUAACAUGGAUACAAAGGAGUCUUCCGCCAAUGUGAACAGCAAAAUCCUUCAUACUCACGAGUUCAAGUAACUAGUGGAAACUACCUUCAGCAGCAACAACAAUACUUUCAUAUGCAACUGAUGUGUAAAUCCGUGGCUAUGAGCAUGAACUGCUCCUCCCUUAUUAUUUGUUAACUUUGU